CGUGUAGGCGGCCAGGUAGGUCGGUUGUGAAAACUGGAGGCUCAACCUUCAGAGGUCGACCGAAACCAUCUGGCUAGAGUCCGGGAGAGGAGAGUGGAAUUCCUGGUGUAGCGGUGAAAUGCGCAGAUAUCAGGAAGAACACCCGUGGCGAAAGCGGCUCUCUGGAACGGUACUGACGCUGAGACGCGAAAGCGUGGGGAGCGAACAGGAUUAGAUACCCUGGUAGUCCACGCCGUAAACGAUGGGCGCUAGGUGUGGGAGGUGUCGACUCCUUCCGUGCCGAAGCUAACGCAUUAAGCGCCCCGCCUGGGGAGUACGGCCGCAAGGCUAAA
RNAcentral lists this ribosomal RNA (332 nucleotides) under uncultured Actinomycetes bacterium. RNAcentral describes it as "bacterial SSU rRNA". It matches the Rfam family "Bacterial small subunit ribosomal RNA", at positions 568 to 898 of the family's 1533-position model. The record is from RNAcentral. Lineage: Bacteria; Bacillati; Actinomycetota; Actinomycetes.